GGCAGCAGUAGGGAAUCUUCCGCAAUGGACGAAAGUCUGACGGAGCAACGCCGCGUGAGUGAUGAAGGUUUUCGGAUCGUAAAGCUCUGUUGUUAGGGAAGAACAAGUACCGUUCGAAUAGGGCGGUACCUUGACGGUACCUAACCAGAAAGCCACGGCUAACUACGUGCCAGCAGCCGCGGUAAUACGUAGGUGGCAAGCGUUGUCCGGAAUUAUUGGGCGUAAAGGGCUCGCAGGCGGUUUCUUAAGUCUGAUGUGAAAGCCCCCGGCUCAACCGGGGAGGGUCAUUGGAAACUGGGGAACUUGAGUGCAGAAGAGGAGAGUGGAAUUCCACGUGUAGCGGUGAAAUGCGUAGAGAUGUGGAGGAACACCAGUGGCGAAGGCGACUCUCUGGUCUGUAACUGACGCUGAGGAGCGAAAGCGUGGGGAGCGAACAGGAUUAGAUACCCUGGUAGUCCACGCCGUAAACGAUGAGUGCUAAGUGUUAGGGGGUUUCCGCCCCUUAGUGCUGCAGCUAACGCAUUAAGCACUCCGCCUGGGGAGUACGGUCGCAAGACUGAAACUCAAAGGAAUUGACGGGGGCCCGCACAAGCGGUGGAGCAUGUGGUUUAAUUCGAAGCAACGCGAAGAA
RNAcentral lists this ribosomal RNA (631 nucleotides) under Enterococcus faecalis. RNAcentral describes it as "bacterial SSU rRNA". It matches the Rfam family "Bacterial small subunit ribosomal RNA", at positions 347 to 968 of the family's 1533-position model. The record is from RNAcentral. Lineage: Bacteria; Bacillati; Bacillota; Bacilli; Lactobacillales; Enterococcaceae.